This is a non-coding RNA of Salvelinus sp. IW2-2015, 265 nucleotides long. The record is from RefSeq and is a predicted model, not a curated record. Lineage: Eukaryota; Metazoa; Chordata; Actinopteri; Salmoniformes; Salmonidae.
AGGAAUCAACUGACAGCAGUACAACUGUGAGAGGAUGAGGAUGUGAAAGCCUCUAAGCUGCCAGACCUGUUUGGCGUUGUACGCAGGGCGUCAGGGCCCAUGUCUGACAGGGAGGGAGGCACCAGCAUACCCCCUCCAGCCGCCCCCUCCACCGCCUCCCCACCCAUGGCACACACACCAUGCAGCUAUCCCGUCUCUCAGACCUAGUGAGCAAUGUUCGCCGGUCGUCCGCCCCAUCCCCAGCCCCCACUCCACCUGCGCCCGC